This 2407-nucleotide long non-coding RNA is filed under the name Patiria miniata (bat star). Its description in RNAcentral is "uncharacterized LOC119736874". The record is from RNAcentral. Lineage: Eukaryota; Metazoa; Echinodermata; Asteroidea; Valvatida; Asterinidae.
GGCCAUUAUAGGGACAUGUGUUAAGUAUCAAUAGCUAUUUUCAAGCUUAAAAACUCUAAUGUUGGAUCUAAGUUUUCUUGUAUACUCUAUGUAUUCAGUUCUUCACCUGUUGUAACUUCACCAUGGUUCAUGGAGUGAAAUACUCUGUAGGGCCAUGUUUAAAAAUCUACUUCAUUUUGUCUGUUUGACAAACUUUUUUUUUGAGAUCUAUUGUUUGACAAACAUGCUCUACAUGUAUAGGGCCAUGUGCAGCUCUUACACAUUCCGUUAAAAACAUGUAACGGUCGUGAAACGUAAUUAGAAUGAUGGUUUCAACGAUUCCACGAUUAUUUUGCGACAUGAAAUAGUCUCUGAUCCUUGUCGAAAUGUGUCUUAUGACAUAUAUUAUUGUUUGUGAUUUGUUCUUCCGUAAUAUACGAUUCACCAUGUUCGAUAAUUGCCUUUUGUGCUAUAGGGCCAUUGUGUCAAUUUUGUUUAUUGUAAAUCAGGUGUAAUGACACCUGUUACGUCGGAUACACCAUGUAAUCGCUCUGUCAAGUGUAUUGCCUGAUUUUACAGGGUGAAAUAAUAAGCAUCAAUUAAUUUUUUAAACAACCACAACACCAGUGGAGGUUUUGAUCGAUGGUACUCUCGAUUCUGAUAUGUCCGAUCACAUCUGGUCGACAAUGUGAAUGUUGUUUCCCUUCUGGAAUUAUCAUAUUUGCGACCAGUACGCCAGAUUAUGUAUUUAGAAUAAAGAUAUCUUUUUUUUCUCAACGGUUGUAUCCAUUAUAGUGCUCUACAUGUAUAGGGUCAUGUGCAGAUCAUACAGAUUCUAUGAAACAUGUAACGGUCGCGAAACGCAAUCAGAAUGAUGGUUUCAACGAUUCCACGAUUAUUUUGCGACAUGAAAUAGUCUCUGAUCCUUGUCGAAAUGUGUCUUAUGGACAUAUCUAAUUGUUUGUGAUUUGUUCUUCCAUAAUAUCUGAUUCACCAUGUUAGAUAAUUGCCUUUCGUGCUAGGGCCAUUGUGUAAAUUUGGUUUAUUGUAAAUCAGGCGUAUUGACACCUGUUACUGUCGGAUACACCAUGUAAAUCGCCCUGUAAAGCGUAUAGCUUGAAUUUACAGGGUGAAAUAAUGUGCAUCAAUUGAUUUUUUUAACAACCACAACACCAGUUGCAGUGGAGGUUUUGAUCGAUGGUACUUUUAAUGCUGAUAAGUCCGACCACAGCUGGUCGGCAAUGUGAAUGCUGUUUCCCUUUGAACCGAUGCGCGUUGCUUUGUCCGUACUGGAAGUUUCAUCUUCGCGAUCAGUAGGCCAAAUGAUCUAUUUAGAGUAAACUAAGCUUACUUUAAUUUCUCAACGGUUGAAUCCAUUACAGUGGUCAGGUAAGGGCCACUAAUUGGAUUAUCUUCACCGUGCGUAUGUAAGAUACUUUUCACCCAGUUAUAGGCCUAAAGUAAAUUUUCCUUAUAUGAUUGUAUCAAGUUUAUAGUGGUCAGGUAAGGACCAUUAAUAUACGUUUUCUUUCUCUUUAUACCACAGCACCGGUCACAAAUUUGAUUGGGAAACCACUGUCAUUGUAGUAACCUACACUAGCUCCGCUAGGAAGACUUCUUUUUUUAUUUUCAGCAACUUGCAAUUAGAUUAGGAGGACCGGUAAGCCGAGUCGAGUGCUCAUGUCAGGAGCUGAUGACACGGAGGAACCGGAAGCAGGGAGGAGGAACGUCGGAUGCAGGAUGACCCUGCUUGCCGGGCAUCCCAUUACUGAUUUCCCAGAGAUGACGGUCUGCAAGAUGAGAUGUCACUCUGGACGAAGAAGGAACCGGAAGCAGGGAGGAGGACCGACGGAAGGACUAAAGACCCUGCUUGCAGAGCAAUUCUUCACCAAUUCAUAAGCUUUGCAGAUUCCUCUUGCUUCGUUUGAGCAGCAGAGACGAAGAACAUAACGGAGUGCAGUUGUUCACAGGGCAGGAAAAAGAAUUUUUUAACACUCGACUGAGUUUUACAAUAGCCAGCUUCUGAAAGUUCCCAUAAGUUUCUCUUAAAAAGUCGUCACAUUGGACUAAUCCGAGGGAUGUAUACACAACACCAUCCCAUUUCAAAAUCCCUCCGAAAUUCUGGUGGAUCAAUAUAAAAAGCUGCAAAUGUCAGUUAUUUAACAAUUGGUUUAAGUCGUACCUAAGUAUAUAGCACUAGCGCAUAGCAAGCUAAACAUUGUGCCGGACAUACGGCGGGCGCGCCUUCAAUCUGCGUGUCCGUCAUGCCUCCGGAAACAACCGAGACUCUUUCGGACAAACUCGGCCGCACUCGGAUUUCGUUGCGCGUAAACUAGUAAAGGGUUUCGUUUCCCCUUCUCCUAUUACCCUUCCCCCUUUUUUUGUUUAGUUUGUCUUAGUUUUUAGUUGAUUGUGUUUCAGUCAAAUA